AUCUUUAUCCUCUCACGUGGAUAAGACACGUUCGAUGUUAUUUUAAAAAGAGGAGAAAGGUGGGACGUGCGUAGAAAUUUUAGGAGAGAAACUUUGGGGCAUGAGGAAAGUUUGUGCACAAGGUGAAGGUCCAAAACCUUCCGAGAGAAAAAGAAAGAAAAGAAAGAAAAUUGAGCGCAGGGUUUCUAGUGUGUACCCUAGGGUUUCUACCUAGGGUUUGGGAAGUGAGAUUGGUGUGCCACGAGUGUCGUGAGUCCACCAAAUUUUAGAGAGAGAUCCAUCAGCCUCUCAAGCAACCGUGCAAA
RNAcentral lists this long non-coding RNA (305 nucleotides) under Elaeis guineensis (African oil palm). RNAcentral's name for it is "long non-coding RNA (EGUI_LNC004377)". Lineage: Eukaryota; Viridiplantae; Streptophyta; Magnoliopsida; Arecales; Arecaceae. The record is from RNAcentral.